CAGUUAUGGUUUAUUUGAUGGUUCCUUUGCUACUUGGAUAACCGUAGUAAUUCUAGAGCUAAUACAUGCACGAAGGGGCGACUUACGAAGCCCUGUAUUUAUUAGAUUAAAGCCAACCACCUCCGGGUGUUAAAAAAAAAUCAUAGUAACUUCUCGGAUCGCCGGCUCUACGCCAGCGACGUGUCAUUCAAAUUUCUGCCCUAUCAGCUUUAGAUGGUAGGAUAUGGGCCUACCAUGGCGGUGACGGGUAACGGAGAAUUAGGGUUCGAUUCCGGAGAGGGAGCCUGAGAAACGGCUACCACUUCUAAGGAAGGCAGCAGGCGCGCAAAUUACCCAAUCCUGACUCAGGGAGGUAGUGACAAGAAAUAACAAUAAACCGGCUUAUGCCGGUUUAAUUGGAAUGAGUACAAUUUAAACAUCUUAACGAGGAACAAUAAGG
This 439-nucleotide ribosomal RNA is filed under the name uncultured eukaryote. Its description in RNAcentral is "bacterial SSU rRNA". It matches the Rfam family "Eukaryotic small subunit ribosomal RNA", at positions 107 to 552 of the family's 1831-position model. The record is from RNAcentral.